Anolis carolinensis (green anole) is the source of this 487-nucleotide long non-coding RNA. RefSeq lists it as uncharacterized. The record is from RefSeq and is a predicted model, not a curated record. The transcript is spliced from 2 exons. Lineage: Eukaryota; Metazoa; Chordata; Lepidosauria; Squamata; Anolidae.
UUCUUGUAAUGUCUAGUUUGGUCAUUUGGCAGCCUUUCUGAGUGCUUAAAAGAGAUUUAAAGGUAAAUACAGUUAAUCCCUGUGUUCCUAUAUAUUCUGUCUACAGUAGGGAAGAAGCAAUGCUGAGGAUCCAGCACUGCAAAUUCAGACACCAACAUGCAUUACCCUGUGGCCAGCCCUUUUCUCUGCCGUUCUACAACAUGCAGAAAUUCCUUGUCCUGCUAGAAAACAUUCAGUGCUGAGAAGACCCAUCUUUAUGCUGAUAACACUAAAAUAUAAAAUAAUGCCAACAGCUGGUGCUACAAAUGGCUUUUAAAAACGAUGUUCAUUCACUAAAUUCCUCUUGCUACUUUUGACAUGAAACACGCAGUCUCUAAUUAUUCUGAUCAAGACGGUGAAAUACAAAAACAAACUUUAAUUGUGUUUAACAGAUAUUUAAUCAGGAUUCACUGAACUACAGAUUAAAGCUGAAAUUCAUAAACCAUAA